Molecule: long non-coding RNA, 756 nt
Organism: Anolis carolinensis (green anole)
Lineage: Eukaryota; Metazoa; Chordata; Lepidosauria; Squamata; Anolidae
Exons: 2
Source: RefSeq, a predicted model, not a curated record
UCUCAAUAUAGAAUCUUAGAAUUCUAGAGUUGGAAGAUCCAUCCAGCCCAACCACCGUGUAGGAACAUACAAUCCAAGUCCUGACAGAUAGCCAUCCAAACUCUACUUUAAAACCUCCAGAGAAUGAUACUGUUAGGGCUCAGCAAGGGACAGGGGAUUUCUCAGAGGGUGAGGAGAUGACGGGUUUCAACCUGAACAAACGGAGGAGUCCUCGUAUGAUCAGGGAGAAUUGCAGGCAGUUGAAGAUGAGACAGAGAAUGUUUUGGAUUCUGAUGUUCGUCCCUUAGCAACAGAGGAAAGGGAAACUGGUGAAAGAUCUAUUUCUCUUGGGAAUCAGCCUUCAGCUGAUGGGGAGUUUUCCCCCAAUUUCAGAUUAGGUCUCAGGACGGAGGGAGUGAAAGAUAGAUUAAAUAGGCAUUCAAAGAGACUCAUGGAGAAGUCCUUGAAACCCAGAGGAGACAAUGUUGCCUAAAGGUCCAGGUUCCUGUCUAAGCCCUCAAGUUCAUGAUUCAAGUUUCCUGAGUUUGCCUAUGUUCCUGGAAGAGUUUGCCUUGGGAAAAAAAUUCCUGUUUUCAUGCUCAUGGAUUUAUGCUCAUGAUUUUGACUCUCUUGAUUUCGUGUAUUUUGCCAUUUUUGGACUAUUGCUCUUUUGUAUAUAGACUGCUGCUAUUUUAUAGUUCCUUUUCUACUGCUUUUUUGGGAAAUCCCUUUUACUCAUUUGUACAUGUUUUUCUUAAUAAAUGGAUGUAGUUAGUA